UGCCAGCCGCCGCGGUAAUACGGAGGGAGCAAGCGUUGUUCGGAAUCACUGGGCGUAAAGGGCGCGUAGGCGGUCAUGUAAGUCGGAUGUGAAAUUCCGGGGCUCAACCCCGAGAACUGCGCCCGAUACUGCAUGACUAGAGAAAGGUAGGGGCAAGUGGAAUUCCCGGUGUAGCGGUGGAAUGCGUAGAUAUCGGGAAGAACACCCGUGGCGAAGGCGGCUUGCUGGACCUUUUCUGACGCUGAAGCGCGAAAGCGUGGGGAGCAAACAGGAUUAGAUA
RNAcentral lists this ribosomal RNA (280 nucleotides) under uncultured bacterium. RNAcentral describes it as "partial 16S ribosomal RNA". It matches the Rfam family "Bacterial small subunit ribosomal RNA", at positions 506 to 784 of the family's 1533-position model. The record is from RNAcentral.